GACUAAGACAAAUCCUGUGAGAGG
Molecule: non-coding RNA, 24 nt
Filed under: Rattus norvegicus (Norway rat)
Lineage: Eukaryota; Metazoa; Chordata; Mammalia; Rodentia; Muridae
Source: RNAcentral